CACGGAACCAUAAUCAGUUCAUAGCACUGGGAGUAUUCAGAAAUUUCCAUCACAAUGAAAAUAUUUAUUUUCGCAUUUGCUUUCGUUGUGCUAGCUGGUGUUUUUGACCUAGCUGAUUCGUCAAGACCAAAUCCACUGUCAGACUUCAUCCCCUGCAACAGCGAUGAGCAGUGCCAGAGCAUCUGCGCGCGUCGCUGCGACUACAACACCGUGUACGGCUUCUGCAACUCCAACAUCUGCUGGUGCGCGCCGAUAGACAGGGGCACUGGUGCCACGGGACACUCUAAACCGUGGUUAUAUUAAACUGGCCCAGUAUAUUGAACCAUAUUUGAAUGAUAGUAAAUCAAAUAAAGUAUUGCAUGUAAAUGAAUUUUUAUUU
This is a long non-coding RNA of Bicyclus anynana (squinting bush brown), 379 nucleotides long. RefSeq lists it as uncharacterized. The transcript has 2 exons. Lineage: Eukaryota; Metazoa; Arthropoda; Insecta; Lepidoptera; Nymphalidae. The record is from RefSeq and is a predicted model, not a curated record.